This 451-nucleotide ribosomal RNA is filed under the name Fusobacterium sp. oral taxon 203. Its description in RNAcentral is "bacterial SSU rRNA". It matches the Rfam family "Bacterial small subunit ribosomal RNA", at positions 28 to 490 of the family's 1533-position model. Lineage: Bacteria; Fusobacteriati; Fusobacteriota; Fusobacteriia; Fusobacteriales; Fusobacteriaceae. The record is from RNAcentral.
GAUGAACGCUGACAGAAUGCUUAACACAUGCAAGUCUACUUGAAUUUGGGUUUUUUAACUUAGAUUUGGGUGGCGGACGGGUGAGUAACGCGUAAAGAACUUGCCUCACAGCUAGGGACAACAUUUGGAAACGAAUGCUAAUACCUGAUAUUAUGAUUUUAAGGCAUCUUAGAAUUAUGAAAGCUAUAUGCGCUGUGAGAGAGCUUUGCGUCCCAUUAGCUAGUUGGAGAGGUAACGGCUCACCAAGGCGAUGAUGGGUAGCCGGCCUGAGAGGGUGAACGGCCACAAGGGGACUGAGACACGGCCCUUACUCCUACGGGAGGCAGCAGUGGGGAAUAUUGGACAAUGGACCAAGAGUCUGAUCCAGCAAUUCUGUGUGCACGAUGACGUUUUUCGGAAUGUAAAGUGCUUUCAGUUGGGAAGAAAAAAAUGACGGUACCAACAGAAGAAG